RNAcentral lists this transfer RNA (69 nucleotides) under Amolops chunganensis (Chungan torrent frog). RNAcentral's name for it is "tRNA-Val". It matches the Rfam family "tRNA". From Rfam's summary of the family: Transfer RNA (tRNA) molecules are approximately 80 nucleotides in length. Their secondary structure includes four short double-helical elements and three loops (D, anti-codon, and T loops). Lineage: Eukaryota; Metazoa; Chordata; Amphibia; Anura; Ranidae. The record is from RNAcentral.
CAAAAUAUAGCUUAAUAAAAGCCUUUCGCUUACACCGAAAAAAUGUCUGUUUGACCCAAACUAUUUUGA